UGAGGAAUAUUGGACAAUGGGCGCAAGCCUGAUCCAGCCAUGCCGCGUGCAGGAAGAAGCAUCUAUGGUGUGUAAACUGCUUUUGUACGGGAAGAAACACUCCUUCGUGAAGGAGCUUGACGGUACCGUAAGAAUAAGGAUCGGCUAACUCCGUGCC
This 157-nucleotide ribosomal RNA is filed under the name uncultured bacterium. RNAcentral describes it as "partial 16S ribosomal RNA". It matches the Rfam family "Bacterial small subunit ribosomal RNA", at positions 355 to 509 of the family's 1533-position model. The record is from RNAcentral.